CCUGCUCUAUGAGAGGGUUUAAUGGCCGCAGUAUACUGACUGUGCAAAGGUAGCAUAAUAAUUAGUCUCUUAAUUAGGGUCUGGUAUGAACGGCUACAUGAGGGGUGACUUUCUUAUUUUUAGAAAAUUGAAUUUCUUAUUAAAGUGAGGAAACUUUGGUGAGCCUAAAAGACAAGAAGACCCUAUUAAGCUUUACUUCUAGAUUUAAGGAUAGAGUUGGGGGUAAGUUUAAUUAUAAAGUUUUGUUGGGGCAAUAUUGGUGUUUAAAUACCAAAUUAAGGAUUAUUAUGUGAAAAUUUUUUGAACCAAAAUUUUUGGUUAAUAGAACAAGUUACUAUAGGGAUAACAGCGUAAUUUUUUUGGAGAGUUCAUAUCGAUAAAAGAGUUUGCGACCUCGAUGUUGAAUUAAAGGACCUUAGGGGCGUAAGAGUUUUUAAAGGUAGUCUGUUCGACUAUUAAAUCUUUACA
This 468-nucleotide ribosomal RNA is filed under the name Craterostigmus tasmanianus. Its description in RNAcentral is "partial 16S ribosomal RNA". It matches the Rfam family "Bacterial large subunit ribosomal RNA", at positions 1858 to 2600 of the family's 2925-position model. Lineage: Eukaryota; Metazoa; Arthropoda; Chilopoda; Craterostigmomorpha; Craterostigmidae. The record is from RNAcentral.